UACAAACUUACAAGGUGCAUGCCAAAAGUCAUGGGACAUGUAUGUUAAUUGGUCAUGAAGAGGACGGCUUGAAUGGGGUUGGGUUGUGCACUCAGAUCCUACAGUCAGCCACCAUGAAAGCUGUGCUGCUUAUCUGUAUCUUGGGUGCUGCUCUGGUGUUGCCAGCACUGGCACAAGACAAGGGUGCCAAAAACCAACAACAACCACAACAUAUUCCCACUUUUUACACUGCUCUAAAUAACAAUAAUGAAGAUGUGAUGAAAAUCAUUUUCGGCGGAAUGACGCCUGAAGAGAUACAAGCAUGGAAGGAAAAACAACAGCAACAAAAUAAUGGCCCUCCAUGCUAGAAUGGAAGUGCAGUGAGCAGUGAGCCUGACCAAGAAAUCAAAUGAUCAUCUGUUCCAGAACUUACAUAUGAUACAAGUAAAUCUGUGAAAAACAUAGAAUUAUGGACACUUACAAUCAAAUUGUACUACUGGUGAACAUUUGUAGUGUACUGAUGUAAUGAUACAUAAAUAAAUAAAUAAACAAAUAAAUAAAUUUCCACUCAUUACAGGCUUUUCCAUGAUCUUGUGGAGUAAAAGGAAGUCAUUAAAGUCAUUGGAACAUCACAGCCUUUUUUGUUUAAAAAUGUACAUAAUACAUAUUUAUUUAAACAACUAUUAAAGCCUUUACUUU
RNAcentral lists this long non-coding RNA (678 nucleotides) under Astyanax mexicanus (Mexican tetra). RNAcentral describes it as "lncRNA (ENSAMXG00005024594.1)". Lineage: Eukaryota; Metazoa; Chordata; Actinopteri; Characiformes; Acestrorhamphidae. The record is from RNAcentral.